UCGAUCCUGAGGAGACUGUGCCACCAGGCCUGGAAAUAAAGCCUUUGCUCCCCAAAUUUCAAUCUCUUGCUUCCUUGGAUUUUAUUCCGGGGUGUGAGCUAUCACAUUUGGGGGCUCGUCCAGGAUGGGAGCAAGACGCCAGACUCAUUUCUGAAUGUUUGGAAUCCCCUCAGGAUGGAGUUCUAGCAGCCUUUAAACCGAAGAUGAAGGCCAAAGAGGCGGCUUCCAGACCCAAUGCACCUCCAGUCCUGCCUCCAAGUGAAGACUCUUCUGACCCACUGGAUAUUCUUCCCUUGCCCCCACCUCCAUACCCUGCCCCUGAACCCCAACCUGACUGCACCACCCCUUCCCUGCCCUGCCUCAUCUGAACCCACCACCACCCUUGGCCUGAGGGACCUCUGGGAUAGGGUCCCGAGGUGGCUCCAUUAUGCCCUUUGCAGGAAGUUCCUGCCCCGAGUGGGAGCUCCAUGUUUGUGUAUACCCCCUUCUCUUUCUCUGACCUCUAUAACUGGAAAGCUCAGAACCCCCCUUUCUCGAAGGGCCCAGAAUCUCUGAUUAACCUUAUAGAAUCUGUUUUCUCUACCCAUCACCCCACUUGGAACAACUGUCAGCAGAUCUUACGCAUCCUUUUCACAGCUGAGGAAAGGAUGUGUAUCUGCACUUUAGGACAAAAGGGAGUUCGAGAUCUGGACAGAUUUCCAUCCGCUGAUUGGCAAAGAGUCGAAUAUCUGUUUCCUUCCUCCCAACCCGAGUGGGACCCCAACACAGAUGCAGGAGACACAUGGGGAUGAAAAUCAUACCCAAAGAUGACAGCUAGUUUGGCUGGUCCAGCAUGAUUUUCUUUGAGUUCCUGAGUGUCUGGAACCUCUCUUGGGAUGAGACCUCCUCCAUAAAUUGCAAGUGCAAAUUGACUUCUUCACAAAUGAGCCAAGACUGAAGCUGGGAACAGAUAAAAAUCCGGACUCGGAAGGUAUUAGAGUGCUAGCUCUUGUCCCAGAAGGGGAAAAUUACCGCCUACUGGGAAAUGUGUCCGGUGUACCUGAGCCAUCACAAACUGACUCAGAAUUAAAACUGUUAAGUAAAUGGAAACAGGAAAUUCCAGAAGUCUGGGCAGAAACCAACCUCCCAGGGCUAGCAAUUAACCAAGUUCCCCUUGUGGUGGAGCUCUUGCCCCAAGCACACCCCAUUUGUUUUCAGCAAUUCUGAUAAGCCUGCAGGCCUGAAAAGGGAUCAAAGUCCACAUUCAGAGACUAAGAGACAAUGGUAUUCUCAUUCCUUGUGUCUCUCCAUGGAACACGCCCCUGCUUCCAGUUCAGAAGCUGGGGACAAAUGACUAUUGCCCUGUACAGGAUCCCUGAGAAGCUAAUAGACGAGUUCUGACUCUACACCCAACAGUGCCAAAUCCUUACACUCUGCUCAGCCUUCUCAACCCAGAAUACACCUGGUAUUCUGUUCUGGACCUGAAGGAUGCUUUCUUCACUCUGCCUCUUGCUCCAGUGAGUCAACCCUUUUUGCCUUCAAAUGGACUGACCCAGAUUCAGGGGUAAAAGAACAGCUAACCUGGACACGCUUACCUCAGGGUUUAAAGAACUCUCCCACCCUUUUUGAUGAGGCAUUAGCAAGAGAUCUUUUGGGAUUUAGGGAGGAGCACCCCGAGAUAGUGCUCCUCCAGUAUGUGGAUGACUUGUAAAUAGCCUCAACAUCCCUAAAAGCUUGUCAAGAGGCAACUGAGGAACUGUUAAGGACUUUGGGGUGAUUAGGCUAUAAAGUCUCGGCCAAAAAGGCCCAAUUGUGCCAUCAGACUGUGACUUAUCUGGGCUACAAACUACAGGAAGGAAAGAGGACUUUGUCUAAGGAAAGAGUCCAUGCCAUAUUGCAGAUCCCAUCCCCAGAAACUAAGAAACAGGUGCGUGAAUUUCUGGGAACUGUCGGAUACUGCAGGCUGUGGAUUCUAAGUUUUACUGAAAUCACUCACCCACUAUAUGACUCUCUUAAGGGGGAGAUCCAAAAACCACUAGAUUGGACAGACAAAUGCGAGCAGGCUUUCCAACAACUCAAGGAGGCUCUGACUGAGGCUCCAGCCCUAGGGCUCCCUGAUGUUACCAAGCCAUUCAUCUUGUUCAUAGAUGAACUCAGAGGCAUCACAAAAGGAGUUUUAACUCAAGACAUUGGCCCUUGAAAGAGGCCUAUAGCCUACCUUUCCAAAAGACUUGAUCCAGUAGCAGGAGGAUGGCCUCCAUGCCUAAGAAUUCUAGCCACUGUGGCAAUGCUACUCAAAGAGGCUAAGAAACUUACCUUUGGACAGAGGAUUUCUGUGGUGACUUCCCACAGUUUAGAGACUCUUAUUAAAACCCCUCCUGAAAAAUGGCUCUCAAAUGCCAGAAUUCUGCACUAUCAGGCUCUACUCUUAGACCCAGAAUCAGUAAUUUUCAAGACUUCCUCAGCUUUAAACCCAGCCACCCUUAUGCCCAAUGAUGACCCAGAGAGUCAACAGACACCUCUCCAUGAGUGUGCUGACAUUCUCAAGCUGCAGCAGAACUUGCGGGCUGAUCUUACCAACCAGCCUUUGGAAAAUGCUGACAACUAUUUCACCGAUGGAACAGCUUCAUCCAGGAUGGCAAGUGAGUGGCUGGCGCAGCAGUGACUACCGAAAAAGAGGUACUCUGGGUCAAACGGUUAGAGCCUGGCACUUCUGCCCCAAAAGGCAGAGCUCAUUGCUCUGACAGAGGCAUUAAAGCUAGCUGCGGGAAAUAGGGUAAACAUCUACACUGACAGCAGAUAUGCUUUUGCUACUGUGCAUGUACAUGGGGCCAUCUAUCACAAGCGAGACCUUUUGACCUCGGCCGGGACUAAGAUUAAAAAUGCUCCACAGAUCCUAGACUUGCUGGCAGCUGUCUGGCUACCUCAGUGGGUUGCUAUUAUUCAUUGCAAAGCACACCAAACAGGAGACAACCCUGUCACCAUAGGAAACAAUUUGGCAGAUUAAGCCACCAGAAAAAUAGCAACCACAUCGGAGGGGCCUAUUGAGGAAGUAACUGCUCUGAUGUUAGUCCCUCCAGUGUUGUCAAAACCAGUCGAUGCAAAGACAGAUUUACAGUUAGCAUCUCAACUUGGAGCAAAGCCCCUCAUCCCGGGGGGCUGGUACCAGUUGCCUGACAAGCGGGUGUUAUUACCAGAGGCACUAGGGUGAGAACUGUUAUACCAAGCUCAUCAGACUACCCAUUUAGGAAAAACUAAACUGGCUGAAUUGUUCAGAAAUCGGUUUUUUAUUCCAAAACUCUCCAAACUGACUGCCUCUUUGAGCCUGUUGGUCAACCCGACCAAGAACUCUCCACUGGAGACCACCUGACAUUGAAGAACCUCUCCAGGAGAACAUAGCAAAGUGCACUUUACAGACAUGGUAAAACCUGGCACACAGGGACACCGCUAUCUCUUGGUAAUGAUAGACACCUUCACUGGCUGGGUAGAGGCUUUCCCCACUAAGUCAGAAUCAGCCUUAGUAGUAGUUAAAAAGCUGUUACAUGAGAUUAUACCUCGAUUUGGCCUUCCAUUGUCAAUGGGGUCCAACAAUGGCCUGGCUUUCAUAGCCCAAGUUACCCAAAAGUUAGCUCAGGUAUUAAAAAUUGAUUGGAAACUUCACUGUGCCUAUCAGCCACAAAGUUCAGGACAAGUAGAAUGCAUGAACUGGACCAUCAAGGACACUUUAACUAAGUUAUCUCUAGAAACUGGUGAUAAUUGGGUGAGCCUUCUUCCCUUUGCACUAUUGAGGGCAAAGUGUACCCCAUAUAUUUCUGGAAUUUCCCCCUUUGAAGCUAUGUUUGGGAGACCUCCACCAUUAGUCCUUAGGUUGUCAGAAGACAAAUUACCUGAAAUAACUAAUCAAGAUCUCAUUAAGUCCCUGCAGAAUCUCCAGCCUGUGCUGACCUCAAUCCAUUAGCUGUUUAGACAAAAACAUCCAAACCCACCCUCGGAGACGCCACUCAAAGUGCUGAUUAAGCCAGGGACUUCGGUCCUGGUGUGAUGCCACCACCAGGACUCACUUGAACCUCCCUGGGAAGGACCUUUCACCAUGGUGCUCAGCACUCCCACCUCCAUCAAGGUAGCAGAAAAGACUGUGUGGAUCCACCACACCCAUGUCAAACCACUGGAAGCGACAGAUGACAAAGAAAAUCCUCGGUGGACUGUACAACGUUCUGGUAACCCAUUAAAGUUAAAAUUUGUAAAGGACCCUUAGCCAUAAAAUCAUGUUUGUAUUGUGGUAUCUAGCUUGGUACUCAAUUGUAACUGUAAGCCCCAGAAAUGGGGACUGAAUUAUUUCAGAUGAGAAAACUAGAAAGGAAUUAGGUAGGGCUAAAGGCAUGACCAAUCAGAUCACCAUUGACUUGUGUACACUCUUUGAUGGUAAUAUAAUUAAUGAUGACAGUAUGACUAGCAGAAUGGGUGAACCGGUCCCAAGCAACUUCUGCACUGGCCGUGGACCCAAAGCUCUGUAAGUUAUGUUUCACAUCCACAGGCAUCCUUGUAUGUAUGUCCUAAGAACCAAGCUGACCCCAAUUAUAAUGUUUACUGUGCCUCAGAUCCAAAACAAUGAUAUUGCUAUUCAUGGUCGUGUGUUACAGGAGGCCUAAAUGGGUAUUAUAAUUUUGAAAAAUAUCUCGCUGUCAAGUACAUAGGAAAUAAAAACUGUUAUAAUGCAUAUGCAUAUACGCAUAUGCAUAUGCGUAUCCUAGUCCAGCUAACCUUUCUAAAUCCAAUGGAUUUUUGGUGGCUAGGACAGGGGCUUACUUAUACUAUUAAGAUCUAUAAAACUGGAUAUGAUCCCGGAGUUAGUAUUAAUAUCCUAUAUAAACCACCUAGAAAGGCUCCUAUGGUCCUUUACAGGGAAGAACGCUGCCCAGUAGUGGCCCCCACUCCAGUAAAAGUGCCCACUAAGUCCACACCAAGUUGACUCCAGAGGCAUACCCCGAGGCCCCCGGUGGCCGAGGCCAUAUGCAAUGGAACCCUAUACCAUACAACCAGGUAACCAAUCAGGUAUACCAACCCCAGGUAAAAUUGUGCGGGUGGAAGGGAAAAGGGGACCUUGAAUAUUGGAUAGAGGUUGAGGUGCCUGGUCCUGAUCCAACCCUGAUUCAACCUACAACUGCUCAGAGGCUGCAAGAGACCAGUUUGGGAAAGUCUAGAUGGGCACUUACUGAGUCCGAUACUCCCACACUGCCUUCAGUGACAACGGAGAUAUUCCAACCCUUAGUGGCUGAGCUACUUAAUAACUCCAAUGAUAGUGGUUUGACAAUCCCAUGCGGGCUAUGUCUGUCCCCCGAACCCCUUUCUAUGAGGGAUACAUCACAGUCACUGAUAAACUGGCCUCUAAUCCCUCCAGAUGUGAUAUAUUCCUCCCUCAAUCUCUAUGGAAAAGUACCAGUCUAGAAGGUAUAAAUGGUACCUGCAUAUAUCACUCCAGCCACACACAGCUCCUAAAUAUUGUGACCUCUCUCACUCCUAUCGCAUCACAGGGACUGGUGACACUACUCCCAUAGUGGCCCCAGCCAGCCAUUGGUGGGCUUGUACUUCAGGAUGGUUCCCUUGUAUUGUUUCAAGAAAGUUUGUUAUUGACCAGGACAAGGUUUGUGUACUAACCCAGAUCCUGCCUAGAAUAUACUGGCACUCCAAAGAAGAAGGAAACAGGGCCCUCAUCUCCACCAGCCACCAAAUAAAUAAGAGAAGUCCAGUUCUUCCUAUUAUGGCUGGAAUCAGUAUAUUCUCAGCUCUUGGGUUGGGUGCUGCCUCCAUGGGAGUUAGUAUACAUCAAUACAACAUGUUAUCCCAACAGGUAGAUGAGGGAAUGAAAUGGAUUCACAGUGCCAAUGAGGCCUUAGAAAACUCAACUGACUCAUUAGCUGAAGUAGCUCUCCCAAAUCGCAGAGGGCUAGACCUUCUAUUAGCUGAAAAAGGAGGACUAUUCUUGGCCUUGGGAGAACAAUGCUGCCUGUAUGCUAAUAAGUCUGGGAUAGUAAAACAAAAUCUAGCCAAACUCCAGAAAAGUAUACAAGAAAGGGAAAAACUAAGGCAAGGAACUCCAGGGUGAAUGAAACAAAUGUUCUCCCUCCUACAGUGGAUGACUAGUAUAAUAGCGACCGUAGCUGGUCCUCUUGUUAUGAUUCUAGUGUUAGUUACUUUAGGUCCCUGCAUAAUCAAUAGGCUGACUGCGUGUAUCAGGCAACAGAUGCAGAAUAUAAAACUAAUGAUGGUUAGACAGCAAACAUACGAGCUUGUCCCCAGAGGCCUUUAAGUAAUUAGGCCAAAGAUUUGGCCUAAAGUCACAACAUCAGAGGGGAAUGUUAUAGCCUAAGCUCUAACUGCUGCGCGCAUUGCCUGUUCUGAAUGCAUCGUACUGCUCCCCCUCCCCUUCCCCCUUCAUAUCUAACUAGGUUAAGUUUCAGUUUCCUGAAAGGCUGUAAAAAGCCUUAAGUUUCAGUUUCUGGUAACCUCCUUCCCUACCUGGUGGUCUAUCAUAAAAUGUGCUAAUUGUGCUGUUCCUUAAAAAGUGCUUGCUGUUCUUUAAGAAAUGCUUAACCUCAAGGAAAUUACAGGAAGUUCUGUAAGGCCAGUUGCUAUCUAGCUGUGUCAACAGUAACAGCAUUCCUGUGGUUUUUAACUUUAAAAGCCACUUCCCUUAGCUGUGAGGUGCACAGUCUUCGGGUCGAUCCUGAGGAGACUGUGCCACCAGGCCUAGAAAUAAAGCCUUUUCUCCCCAAAUUUCAA
This is a long non-coding RNA of Cavia porcellus (domestic guinea pig), 6759 nucleotides long. RefSeq lists it as uncharacterized. The record is from RefSeq and is a predicted model, not a curated record. The transcript has 3 exons. Lineage: Eukaryota; Metazoa; Chordata; Mammalia; Rodentia; Caviidae.